AGAACUUAGCAGAGAUGCUUUGGUGCCUUCGGGAACUCUGAGACAGGUGCUGUAUGGCUGUCGUCAGCUCGUGUUGUGAAAUGUUGGUUAAGUCCCGCAACGAGCGCAACCCUUAUCCUUUGUUGCCAGCGAUUCGGUCGGGAACUCAAAGGAGACUGCCAGUGAUAAACUGGAGGAAGGUGGGGAUGACGUCAAGUCAUCAUGGCCCUUACGAGUAGGGCUACACACGUGCUACAAUGGCGCAUACAAAGAGAAGCGACCUCGCGAGAGCAAGCGGACCUCAUAAAGUGCGUCGUAGUCCGGAUUGGAGUCUGCAACUCGACUCCAUGAAGUCGGAAUCGCUAGUAAUCGUAGAUCAGAAUGCUACGGUGAAUACGUUCCCGGGCCUUGUACACACCGCCCGUCACACCAUGGGAGUGGGUUGCAAAAGAAGUAGGUAGCUUAACUUUCGGGAGGGCGCUUACCACUUUGUGAUUCAUGACUGGGGUGAAGUCGUAACAAGGUAAGCGUAGUGCU
RNAcentral lists this ribosomal RNA (516 nucleotides) under uncultured bacterium. RNAcentral describes it as "bacterial SSU rRNA". It matches the Rfam family "Bacterial small subunit ribosomal RNA", at positions 992 to 1509 of the family's 1533-position model. The record is from RNAcentral.